Molecule: non-coding RNA, 420 nt
Organism: Carcharodon carcharias (great white shark)
Lineage: Eukaryota; Metazoa; Chordata; Chondrichthyes; Lamniformes; Lamnidae
Source: the annotation of a RefSeq genome assembly
AUGUGUUCCCUGUAUGCUUUAUUGAUAACAAUGGUCGUGCUACUCGGAACGAGUGGCCAAGAUUCAGUUUCCCAGGAUCCGCUUGAAUUAACGUUUCAGGAAGGACAGACCGUAAUAUUGAACUGCAAUUACACAACAAAAUACCCUUCAACAACUCUCUUCUGGUACAUCCAGUAUCCAGGGGAAGCUCCGAGAUAUUUACUGAAGAAAUACGGCAUGGGGAAGGGGGAUAAGUCUCCAGAUUUCCCUGACAGGUUUUCUGCUGAUUUGGAUCAGGACAAGAAAACCGUUCCUUUAAAUAUCGACGGGGCUCGUGUGUCUGACUCUGCCGUGUAUUUCUGUGCAUUAACUCCGUUAAAGGACCAAAAUUCGCUUGAAUGUCUAUUUUGUUAUUAUUCUCGAGUACACAGACUUAGUUAG